UAAGUCCCGCAACGAGCGCAACCCCUACUGCCAGUUACCAGCAAGUUAAGUUGGGGACUCUGGCGGAACUGCCGGUGACAAACCGGAGGAAGGUGGGGAUGACGUCAAGUCAUCAUGGCCCUUAUGUCCAGGGCUACACACGUGCUACAAUGGGCGGUACAAAGCGGAGCGAAGCCGCGAGGCACAAGCGAAUCGCUGAAAGCCGCCCGUAGUUCGGAUUGAAGUCUGAAACCCGACUUCAUGAAGUUGGAAUCGCUAGUAAUCGCGCAUCAGCAUGGCGCGGUGAAUACGUUCCCGGGCCUUGUACACACCGCCCGUCACACCAUCCGAGUUGGAGGUACCCGAAGCCGGUAGUCUAACCGCAAGGAGGACGCUGUCGAAGGUACGUUUAGUGAGGAGGGUGAAGUCGUAACAAGGUAGCCGUACUGGAAAGUGCGGCUGGAUCACCUCCUUU
Molecule: ribosomal RNA, 454 nt
Filed under: uncultured spirochete Nn417
Lineage: Bacteria; Pseudomonadati; Spirochaetota; Spirochaetia; Spirochaetales
Description: bacterial SSU rRNA
Rfam family: Bacterial small subunit ribosomal RNA
Source: RNAcentral